CAGGUGAGGAAGCCAUGGUUUAAAGCAGAGAUCACCAACUGCUGGACCACAGACCUGCACGAGUUCACGGCCUGUUAGGAACCGAGCCACACAGCAGGAGCACAUGCUCCUCUGCAGAAAGUGAUGGGGCUGCCUUGCCAGCUGGAGCCUGAAACUGUGCCCAGGUGCCAGCAGGACCAUCAAAUGUAGCUGUCUAGCCAGCAGCUGGAUACAUGGACCGACAGCUCAGAAAGGAGCUCAGUGCUAAACGGCAGUCUGGGAAGACAUCUGCAAAGAGGGCCUGAUGGCAGUCCUGGGAGUGGGUGAGAUCACGAAGCAGGAAGGAGAGAAAACAAGAGGCCAAAGGGCAAGAGUCUCGAGGAUGCCAACACUUACGGGAAGAGAACAAGCAACUGUUGGAGAGAGAAAAGGAAAAUGGGGAAAGUUCAGGAUCCCUAUCGCCAAGGAGGAGGGUUUCAGCAGGGCCAGAUGCUUCCAAGAUCAAGCCCGAGAAGAGCCUGCAAUCCAGCAGCAAUAGGAGGUCACAGGAGUUCUCAGAGGAUCCACGGACUGUGACGUGCUGAGGGCGGAUCCAGAUUGUGCCGAUUAAGAAAGAAGUGGGUGGUGAGAUCCGGAAGCCGCCAGUAAAACACUCUU
This is a long non-coding RNA of Homo sapiens (human), 636 nucleotides long. The record is from Ensembl. NCBI's taxonomy places the organism in Eukaryota, Metazoa, Chordata, Mammalia, Primates, Hominidae.